GAGUUUGAUCGUGGCUCAGAUUGAACGCUGGCGGCAUGCCUUACACAUGCAAGUCGAACGGCAGCACGGGAGCUUGCUCCUGGUGGCGAGUGGCGAACGGGUGAGUAAUGCAUCGGAACGUAUCCUGGAGUGGGGGAUAACGUAGCGAAAGUUACGCUAAUACCGCAUAUUCUGUGAGCAGGAAAGCGGGGGACCUUCGGGCCUCGCGCUCUUGGAGCGGCCGAUGUCGGAUUAGCUAGUUGGUGAGGUAAAGGCUCACCAAGGCGACGAUCCGUAGCAGGUCUGAGAGGAUGAUCUGCCACACUGGAACUGAGACACGGUCCAGACUCCUACGGGAGGCAGCAGUGGGGAAUUUUGGACAAUGGGGGCAACCCUGAUCCAGCCGUGCCGCGUGAGUGAAGAAGGCCUCGGUGUAAGU
Molecule: ribosomal RNA, 418 nt
Filed under: bacterium enrichment culture clone ALO1_GLFRUDD03GJNV2
Lineage: Bacteria
Description: bacterial SSU rRNA
Rfam family: Bacterial small subunit ribosomal RNA
Source: RNAcentral